RNAcentral lists this unclassified non-coding RNA (1184 nucleotides) under Candidatus Liberibacter asiaticus. Its description in RNAcentral is "16S-23S ribosomal RNA intergenic spacer". The stretch from base 605 to 1184 matches the Rfam family "Bacterial large subunit ribosomal RNA", at positions 1 to 593 of the family's 2925-position model. Lineage: Bacteria; Pseudomonadati; Pseudomonadota; Alphaproteobacteria; Hyphomicrobiales; Rhizobiaceae. The record is from RNAcentral.
CCUUUCUAAGGAAGAUGUUGAGUAUCAUUGAAUUUAUUGAGUGAUCUGAACGUUUUUUGAAGAUUAAAGCUUUUAAUUAAGCUUGAUAUAAAUUUGCUGUUGUGAAGCAGCGUUUUUAAAAGGAUCGCCGUCCAUGUUUCUCUUUCUUUUCGGAUUUUUUGCGAUGAUGGGGGGUCGUUAAUAUUUGGUUUUGAGGGCCCGUAGCUCAGGUGGUUAGAGUGCACCCCUGAUAAGGGUGAGGUCGGUAGUUCAAAUCUACCUGGGCCCACCACUUUUUGUUCAGGGGGCCGUAGCUCAGUCGGUAGAGCGCCUGCUUUGCAAGCAGGAUGCCAGCGGUUCGAUUCCGCUCGGCUCCACCAUUGGCGUAAUUAUGGAAUUUUGUUCUGAUUUUUUGGAGCAAGAGUUUUUUGAAAAUUGAAUAGAAGAUAUAUUUUUUUGUAUUUUUUAUGUUGGCAUUGUAUGCGACAUAUAAGAUACCGGCGUUGUUAACCGCACGUUGAGAAUUUAUCUCAGGAAAUUGGUCUAUUGAAGAAGCAUAAGGAUAUUAUGUUUUUUUAAUUAUAAAGAGUUUGCAAAGAACUUUAUGACGAUUGACAAUGAGAGUAAUCAAGCGCGAAAGGGCAUUUGGUGGAUGCCUUGGCAUGCACAGGCGAUGAAGGACGUGAUAUGCUGCGAUAAGCUAUGGGGAGCUGCAAAUAAGCAUUGAUCCGUAGAUUUCCGAAUGGGGUAACCCGCCUUAUGUGCCUAGGAAACUGAACUAAGUUGGUUUAAUUUUCUAGGUAUUUUGAAGGUAUCUUUAUCUGAAUGAAAUAGGGUAAAAGAAGCGAACGCAGGGAACUGAAACAUCUAAGUACCUGUAGGAAAGGACAUCAAUUGAGACUCCGUUAGUAGUGGCGAGCGAACGCGGAUCAGGCCAGUGGUAGGAAAGAUUUAAGUAGAAUUACCUGGGAAGGUAAGCCAUAGUGUGUGAUAGCCCCGUAUACGUAAUAAUUUUUUCUAUCCUUGAGUAGGGCGGGACACGUGAAAUCCUGUCUGAAUAUGGGGCGACCACGCUCCAAGCCUAAGUACUCGUGCAUGACCGAUAGUGAACUAGUACCGUGAGGGAAAGGCGAAAAGAACCCCUAUGAGGGGAGUGAAAUAGACCCUGAAACCGAAUGCCUACAAACAGUCGAAGGCCGCGAGGC